RNAcentral lists this transfer RNA (72 nucleotides) under Camelus bactrianus (Bactrian camel). It matches the Rfam family "tRNA". From Rfam's summary of the family: Transfer RNA (tRNA) molecules are approximately 80 nucleotides in length. Their secondary structure includes four short double-helical elements and three loops (D, anti-codon, and T loops). The record is from Rfam by way of RNAcentral. RNAcentral also lists the same sequence under 3 other names. Lineage: Eukaryota; Metazoa; Chordata; Mammalia; Artiodactyla; Camelidae.
GGAGGUGUAGCUCAGGGGUACAGCACACGCUUAGCAUGCACAAGGUCCUGGGUUCAAUCCCCAGUACCUCCU